RNAcentral lists this ribosomal RNA (468 nucleotides) under uncultured bacterium. Its description in RNAcentral is "partial 16S ribosomal RNA". It matches the Rfam family "Bacterial small subunit ribosomal RNA", at positions 28 to 507 of the family's 1533-position model. The record is from RNAcentral.
GACGAACGCUGGCGGCGUGCCUCACACAUGCAAGUCGAACGGAAAGGCCCUGCUUUUGUGGGGUGCUCGAGUGGCGAACGGGUGAGUAACACGUGAGUAACCUGCCCUUGACUUUGGGAUAACUUCAGGAAACUGGGGCUAAUACCGGAUAGGAGCUCCUGCUGCAUGGUGGGGGUUGGAAAGUUUCGGCGGUUGGGGAUGGACUCGCGGCUUAUCAGCGUGUUGGUGGGGUAGUGGCUUACCAAGGCUUUGACGGGUAGCCGGCCUGAGAGGGUGACCGGCCACAUUGGGCCUGAGAUACGGCCCAGACUCCUACGGGAGGCAGCAGUGGGGAAUAUUGCACAAUGGGCGGCAGCCUGAUGCAGCAACGCCGCGUGCGGGAUGACGGCCUUCGGGUUAUAAACCGCUUUCGCCUGUGACGAAGCGUGAGUGACGGUAAUGGGUAAAGAAGCACCGGCUAACUACGUG